UACGGAGGGUGCAAGCGUUGCUCGGAAUUAUUGGGCGUAAAGGGUAGGUAGGUGGUCUCGUUUGUCAGGGGUGAAAGCCUUGGGCUUAACUCAAGAAGUGCCCCUGAAACGGCGAGACUCGAGUGCUGGAGAGGGUCGUGGAAUUCCCGGUGUAGCGGUGAAAUGCGCAGAUAUCAGGAGGAACACCAAUGGCGAAGGCAGCUCGCUGGGACGGUACUGACGCUGAGACGCGAAAGCGUGGGGAGCAAACAGG
Molecule: ribosomal RNA, 253 nt
Filed under: uncultured bacterium
Lineage: Bacteria
Description: partial 16S ribosomal RNA
Rfam family: Bacterial small subunit ribosomal RNA
Source: RNAcentral